Molecule: ribosomal RNA, 330 nt
Filed under: Triticum aestivum (bread wheat)
Lineage: Eukaryota; Viridiplantae; Streptophyta; Magnoliopsida; Poales; Poaceae
Description: partial small subunit ribosomal RNA
Source: RNAcentral
AUGUGUCAUGUCUGUAUGCUGAAGCAUGCUGUCUCUCACAUGGAUUUCAAUUAUGAACCGUAUGCUCAUGGUUAUGUAUGCUUUCUGUUUCAUAUAUGUGCCAAUGAUGUAGUGUAUAAUAAAUCCAAUCUAACAAGUAUAGUAUCUGGGUGUGGUUUUACCUUCUAUGACCCGCUUGUAGUUUGGGAGGGCUAUCAAGGGUCGGGGCAUUUAUUAUAUGAACAGUUCUAUCGUUUUUACUUUUUGGUACUGCAUAGAGUUGGACCUCCAUUUGUAGAACAACUUCUCAGUUCUCCAGAUCCUUGUCAUGCUCAAUUAUGUCCAUCCUGA